This 420-nucleotide ribosomal RNA is filed under the name uncultured bacterium. Its description in RNAcentral is "bacterial SSU rRNA". It matches the Rfam family "Bacterial small subunit ribosomal RNA", at positions 954 to 1378 of the family's 1533-position model. The record is from RNAcentral.
GCAUAACGCGAAGAACCUUACCUAGACUUGACAUCUCCUGAAUUACUCGUAAUGGAGGAAGCCCUUCGGGGCAGGAAGACAGGUGGUGCAUGGUUGUCGUCAGCUCGUGUCGUGAGAUGUUGGGUUAAGUCCCGCAACGAGCGCAACCCUUGUUGUUAGUUGCUACCAUUAAGUUGAGCACUCUAACGAGACUGCCGCGGUUAACGCGGAGGAAGGUGGGGAUGACGUCAAAUCAUCAUGCCCCUUAUGUCUAGGGCUACACACGUGCUACAAUGGCCGGUACAGAAAGAUGCAAACCCGUGAGGGGGAGCUAAACUCAAAAGCCGGUCCCAGUUCGGAUUGUAGGCUGAAACUCGCCUACAUGAAGUUGGAGUUGCUAGUAAUCGCGAAUCAGCAUGUCGCGGUGAAUACGUUCCCGGG